AUUAAAAAGUUAGUUGUGGGAAUCAAUUUAAUUUGAGUAGAAUUAAUUAUUAGUAAAUUUAUUAAAUAAAGUAAUAUUUUUUUUAUUAAUAUUUAUGAAUAAAUUUAGGUAAUUAUAGUGAAUUAGUAUAGUGAUAGAAAUUAAAUUUAAUAAAUAAAAUUUAUGGAAGAAGUAAUUUUUAUGUACCUUGUGUAUCAGGGUUUAUUAAUUAAAAAUUAAGAAUUUAAUUUUCUCGAUUUUAAAAGAGUUAAAGAAUUAUAAAUUUUAUUGUUGAAUAAAUAUUUUAAAUAAUUUUUUAGAAAUGAAACGUUAUUCGUUUUUAAUGGUAUCUAGUUAUUGAAGAAAAAAAUUUAAUUUUAAUUUUUUAUUUGUUUAGUUUUAUUUUUAAAAUUAAACAAUUUUAAAAUUUAUAUUUUAAGGGAUAAGCUUUAAGGUAUAAAUUUAUAACCUAUUUUUUUAAAAUAAAUUUAUAGGAUUAGAAAUUUUCAUUAUUUAAUUUGUUAUAAUUAAUUUAUUAUAAAAUAAAAUUUUUUGUGGCGGGGGUUUAAUUAUUUUAUUCAAUUUAAUUAAAAAAUUGUAGCUUAGUUGUAAUAAUGAUAAAAUUAGUAUAAUUUAUUGUAACUUUAAAAUUUAAUUAAGGUUAAAUAAAGGAAUUCGGCAAAUUAUUUUUCGCCUGUUUAUUAAAAACAUGUCUUUUUGAUUAUAAUUUAAAGUCUGACCUGCCCUCUGAAAAUUUAAAGGCCGCGGUAUUUUGACCGUGCGAAGGUAGCAUAAUAAUUAGUUUUUUAAUUGAAAGCUGGAAUGAAUGGUUGAACGAGAAAAUAACUGUCUCUAUUUAAAUUUAUUAGAAUUUUAUUAUUAAGUUAAAAAGCUUAGAUAAUUUUGAAAGACGAGAAGACCCUAUAGAGUUUUAUAAAUUUAUAAUUAAUAAAUUUUUUGAAUUUUUUCUUUAUUAUUUGUGAAUUUAUUUAGUUGGGGUGAUUGAAAAAUUUAAUAAACUUUUUUUUAAAAUAACAUAGAUUUAUGAUUAAUUGAUCCAUUAUAAUGAUUAUAAGAUUAAAUUACCUUAGGGAUAACAGCGUAAUUUUUUUAAAGAGUUCUAAUCGAAAAGAAAGUUUGCGACCUCGAUGUUGGAUUAAAAUUAAUCUUUGGUGUAGAAGCUAAAGUUUUAGGUCUGUUCGACCUUUAAAAUUUUACAUGAUCUGAGUUUAAACCGGUGUGAGCCAGGUUGGUUUCUAUCUUUAAGAAAAUUUAAUUUUUUAGUACGAAAGGACCAAAUAUUAGUUAAAUUAAUUUUUAUUGAAUAAUUCUGUUACUUUGGCAGAAUAGUGUGUUAAAUUUAGAAUUUAAUUAAGUAUAUUAAUUACAGGUAAU
RNAcentral lists this ribosomal RNA (1374 nucleotides) under Neobisnius villosulus. RNAcentral's name for it is "16S ribosomal RNA". The stretch from base 1072 to 1230 matches the Rfam family "Archaeal large subunit ribosomal RNA", at positions 2542 to 2701 of the family's 2987-position model. The record is from RNAcentral. Lineage: Eukaryota; Metazoa; Arthropoda; Insecta; Coleoptera; Staphylinidae.